AUGGAGAAAGCAAGCAAAAAGUGGGUGGAGUGUGAAAAUGAAGAGAGAGAGGGAGAGGUGUCUCGGCAGUGGUGGUGCGGCGGCUCGGAGCCUGAGAGGAAAUGGCAGUGGUGGAGCAUGGCGCAGGAGCCGGGCAGGAGCCAGGCACCCAGGAACUGGAAUGCCAGGGGCGACGGUGGCAUGAAAUUUCAUCUGCUUCUUCAACUCCUUCACCUGAGGACUUGAAGAGUGAGGAUAUCUCGGUUUGGUAUCCACCUGCAAAAUGAGACUGCUGGCAAGGAUCCCUAGAAGAAGAAGACCACUUUUGUGAAUGAAAGGACGGCUCGAAUUCUGCAAUCAAGCUUGUGCUUCUGCUGAAGUCUCUAUACAGAGACAGCUGCAGUAAUGAAUUUCAGUAUGAAGAUUAUAUGAAUAUUCCCCCAGUUCUGCAAAAAAACUGGCCAAAACUGUCAUGCAUUUCACACAGGCUUCUUUCAGGCAUCAGGUAGCAACUGCUUAUGGUCA
Long non-coding RNA from Neopsephotus bourkii (Bourke's parrot), 504 nucleotides. RefSeq lists it as uncharacterized. Lineage: Eukaryota; Metazoa; Chordata; Aves; Psittaciformes; Psittacidae. The transcript has 3 exons. The record is from RefSeq and is a predicted model, not a curated record.